GAUUCUUUAAUUAAAGUCGUGAAAAAGAUGAACAAUAUAUUAAUCUGUUGUAAUAAUUAAAGUGAUCAUCAAUUAUGCUUUUACGAUGUAACAACGUCAAGCAUUUGUGCUUGUAACUUUCAUUAAUAUUUUUUAUUUGUCUUCGUUUUGUCGGAUGAUAGGUUACUUAAUUAACUUGACAAUCAAAUUGUAUAUGUGUAGAGAUACUCGCUUAACUUUCUU
This 222-nucleotide long non-coding RNA is filed under the name Prunus persica (peach). Its description in RNAcentral is "long non-coding RNA (PPER_LNC000632)". The record is from RNAcentral. Lineage: Eukaryota; Viridiplantae; Streptophyta; Magnoliopsida; Rosales; Rosaceae.